CCAAGAUUACAACAUUUCCGUAACAUGCAGCAAAGCCAGGGGACCUGGCACACGAUUCAGCUCACAAAGAUCCGUGACGAAUGUUAAACACCCCCAGCGCCUCCCCGCAGCCAGCGCUGCCUCGCACAGCUCACUCUGCUCCAUUUCUCUUGGCUUUUUUUUCUUUCCUUUCCUCCCCCCCCUCCACGAGGUUGGCCCCAUUUUGACAAUAAAAAUACAUUUCCCAGAA
Molecule: long non-coding RNA, 229 nt
Organism: Apus apus (common swift)
Lineage: Eukaryota; Metazoa; Chordata; Aves; Apodiformes; Apodidae
Exons: 2
Source: RefSeq, a predicted model, not a curated record